RNAcentral lists this ribosomal RNA (854 nucleotides) under uncultured bacterium. RNAcentral's name for it is "bacterial SSU rRNA". It matches the Rfam family "Bacterial small subunit ribosomal RNA", at positions 639 to 1504 of the family's 1533-position model. The record is from RNAcentral.
AGCUAGAGUAUGAUAGAGGAAAGCAGAAUUUCUAGUGUAGAGGUGAAAUUCGUAGAUAUUAGAAAGAAUACCAAUUGCGAAGGCAGCUUUCUGGAUCAUUACUGACGCUGAGGAACGAAAGCAUGGGUAGCGAAGAGGAUUAGAUACCCUCGUAGUCCAUGCCGUAAACGAUGUGUGUUAGACGUUGGAAAUUUAUUUUCAGUGUCGCAGCGAAAGCAUUAAACACACCGCCUGGGGAGUACGACCGCAAGGUUAAAACUCAAAUGAAUUGACGGGGACCCGCACAAGUAGUGGAGCAUGUGGUUUAAUUCGAAGAUACGCGCAGAACCUUACCAACACUUGACAUGUUCGUCGCGACUUUAAGAGAUUAAAGUUUUCGGUUCGGCCGGACGAAACACAGGUGCUGCAUGGCUGUCGUCAGCUCGUGUCGUGAGAUGUUGGGUUAAGUCCCGCAACGAGCGCAACCCUCACUUUUAGUUGCCAUCAUUAAGUUGGGCACUCUGAAAGAACUGCCAGUGAUAAGCUGGAGGAAGGUGGGGAUGACGUCAAGUCCUCAUGGCCCUUACGUGUUGGGCUACACACGUGCUACAAUGGCAUUUACAAUAGGAAGCAAGAUGGCGACGUCAAGCAAAUCCUAAAAAGAUGCCUCAGUUCGGAUUGUACUCUGCAACUCGAGUACAUGAAGCUGGAAUUACUAGUAAUCGCGGAUCAGCGCGCCGCGGUGAAUACGUUCCCGGGUCUUGUACACACCGCCCGUCACACCAUGGGAGUUGGUUCUACCUUAAGGCAAGGUUUUAAACCCUUGACUACGGUAUAGUCAGCGACUGGGGUGAAGUCAUAACAAGGUAACCGUA